AACCAAUGAGUGUGGAGACACUGGUAUGACAUACAGGUGAGAUGUAAGGGUACAUCUGCACUGAACGUGACCGACUCCGGAGCUAUUUCUGCUGUCAAGAUUUGCUCUGAUGGAAUAUGGGUAUAAAUAUCCCUCCGACCUGAGAUCGCUACGGUGACUUACAAGCAACUCACUGCACUUAGGCACUGGACUACCUGAAUUUCUAAUUCAGUGACGGAAGGCUGCUGGGUGUAGUCAAGUACUUGACUUGUCGGUGCGUAUGUCAAGAUGGGAUUGACCACUCCAGUUUAGGAGCUAUGUACAGUCGUAUUUCAAUUUAGCAAAACCUUGGCUAGGGUAGUCUUUGUGAGGAGUCACAGGACUGUUUGAGUUGAGCAUGAUUCGGAUGAUCUAAUCAGGGUUGAUAGUUUAACCCUGAGUCGUCCUAAACACAGAGGUCAAAAUGAUGAAUUAUACCGUAACCAUAUUCACAUAGGUUCUGAGUGUUGUGAUUGUGACUAUUUGACCUAUCCAGUCGUCAGGUACCAUUGCUAGAUGGUCACUUCGAUUAGUAUAGAAAUUGGUUCCUGUGCUACCGGCUUAGGUUCGAACUUGCGGGGUCACACACAUUAGAGGUUCUUAUCUGAUCUGAUGCCUGAUGAAGAGUCCUAAUGCUCAUGGACUAUGAGUCCUACAUGUUUGAGACUUUGUGAUUGAGAAUUAGGAUUCUCUGAUCAUGAGUCUCACACAUUUUGGGUACCGGG
Molecule: long non-coding RNA, 743 nt
Filed under: Elaeis guineensis (African oil palm)
Lineage: Eukaryota; Viridiplantae; Streptophyta; Magnoliopsida; Arecales; Arecaceae
Description: long non-coding RNA (EGUI_LNC074550)
Source: RNAcentral